Long non-coding RNA from Magallana angulata, 780 nucleotides. RefSeq lists it as uncharacterized. Lineage: Eukaryota; Metazoa; Mollusca; Bivalvia; Ostreida; Ostreidae. The transcript is spliced from 3 exons. The record is from RefSeq and is a predicted model, not a curated record.
UCCAAGUAAAAAGCGUAAGUGUAAAUAUCAUUUGCGUCGAUGUCUGUUUGAGUAUGUACAAGUGAGUACUAUUCUAAUAAUUGAUUUUAAAUUUAGAUUGGUGAGACGGGAGUGGUGUCCACCGGUUCGCAAAGAAGGGAGGUGCAGCUGUCCAUGGACGGUCGGUCUGCUCUCCUUACCCUCUGGGGUAAGGAGACAGACCUGGAAGUCGUUGCUGGGGACAUGUAUAUUGUCCGAAAUAUAGUCCCCAGUAACGACUUCAAUAAGCAGAGGUGCUACUCGUCCACCCCUCUGACAAAGUUCGAGAUAAAAUGCAUACACUGUCUCGUCACAAUAGUUUUUGCUAUCAAAAAAGUCAUUGUAAUAUCUAUACAUAGAGACAAAAGUAUUGCUUCAAAAUUAAAUGAAUUCUAUUUAGUUUAAGUAAAAUAUUGAAAUAUUGUCAACGAAUUUCUUCAUAUGAAGAUGCUAUUUUGAUGCCUCAUCAGACUCUAAUAUUGAUUGAUAUUGAUUAACAAUUGCAGCCAUAUGAAUGCACAGAACUCCAGGAAACAUUUGAGGGGGUGGUCGAGUGUGUGUCCUUUGCCAGCAAUCUCAUUGAGAUUAACGAUAUGAUGCUGACAAUAUCGAAGGACAACCUUGCUAAGAUUUUUCCAGGCAGACAAUUCAGUCCGGUAAAGGUUACCGGACUGAAAAGAAAUGGAGAAAUUUGUGAAAUAGAUGUGAAGAAGGCCAAGAUGUGAGAAACUGUGAGAGUCAUUAAAGUACCUUGAUCCAAAG